This 278-nucleotide long non-coding RNA is filed under the name Triticum aestivum (bread wheat). Its description in RNAcentral is "long non-coding RNA (TAES_LNC005578)". Lineage: Eukaryota; Viridiplantae; Streptophyta; Magnoliopsida; Poales; Poaceae. The record is from RNAcentral.
GAUGAAUGAAACGGAGACACUUAGCCUUUUUGUGAUUUUUUUUCCUUCUGAAAGUUCGAUUCUUUCGAAGCCAACUUCAUUAAUAUAUUAUCUUGAAACAAAGAGUGAUAUUCUCUUUGUUGCUGAAAACAGAUGUGAAGUAAGGGAAAAAGAAAUUGAGAUCAAGGAAAUGAAGGAGCAAAUGACGGAAAUGAAGGAGCAAAUGACGGAGCUUGUGGGCAUCCUUCGACACAGUGAAUCACGCAGGAGGGAACUUGAAAAGCAGAGCAAGCAGAAAG